UGGGUAAUCUGCCCUCGGUUCUGGGAUAGCCCGGGGAAACCCGGAUUAAUACCGGAUGGCCUCUCGAGCUCUCGGGCUCGUGAGAAAAGGUAGCUUCGGCCUCCGACCGAGGAUGAGCCCGCGGCGGAUUAGCUUGUUGGCGGGGUAACGGCCCACCAAGGCAGCGAUCCGUAGCUGGUCUGAGAGGACGAUCAGCCACACUGGGACUGAGACACGGCCCAGACUCCUACGGGAGCAGC
RNAcentral lists this ribosomal RNA (239 nucleotides) under uncultured bacterium. Its description in RNAcentral is "partial 16S ribosomal RNA". It matches the Rfam family "Bacterial small subunit ribosomal RNA", at positions 118 to 347 of the family's 1533-position model. The record is from RNAcentral.